This 275-nucleotide ribosomal RNA is filed under the name uncultured eukaryote. RNAcentral's name for it is "partial small subunit ribosomal RNA". It matches the Rfam family "Eukaryotic small subunit ribosomal RNA", at positions 587 to 867 of the family's 1831-position model. The record is from RNAcentral.
AGCUCCAUUAGUGUAUAUUAAAGUUGUUGCAGUUAAAAAGCUCGUAGUCGGAUUUCGGGUCGGGCCGAGCGGUCUGCCGAUGGGUAUGCACUGUUCGGCGCGGCCUUCUUUCCGGAGACCGCGGCUACUCUUAACUGAGCGGGCGUGGGAGACGGAUCGUUUACUUUGAAAAAUCAGAGUGUUUCAAGCAGGCAGCUCGCUCUUGCAUGGAUUAGCAUGGGAUAAUGAAAUAGGACUCUGGUGCUAUUUUGUUGGUUUCGAACACCGAAGUAAUG